This 638-nucleotide long non-coding RNA is filed under the name Cicer arietinum (chickpea). RNAcentral describes it as "long non-coding RNA (CARI_LNC000094)". The record is from RNAcentral. Lineage: Eukaryota; Viridiplantae; Streptophyta; Magnoliopsida; Fabales; Fabaceae.
AAGCACAAGGUCCUGGUAAUCAAGUUGAUCAGGGGAGAGGAAGCAAUGUGGUAUCCAGCAUUGGUGAAACUGUUGGAAAACUUGGUGAGAAAGUGAAGAAACCAAUUGAAAACAUGACUAGUUCUGGUAAUCAAGUUGAUCAGGGGGGAGGAAGCAAUGUGGUAUCAGGCAUUGGUGAAACUGUUGGAAAACUUGGUGAGAAAGUGAAGAAACCAAUUGAAAACGUGAUUUCUUCUGGUGAAGAAAAAAAUCUGGAAAGCACAGAACAAGGAAAAGGAGGAAGUGAUGUAUUAGGAGCUGUGAAAGAAACUGUGAGUGACAUUGGAAACAACAUGAUUAAAUCAGGAGAUAAUAAAGUUGUAGAACGUGGUGUAACUCAAGAGGGUCAAGGUGGUGUUUUGGAUGCUAUUGGUGAAACUAUAGCAGAGAUUGCACAUACAACUAAAGUUAUUGUUGUUGGUGAAGGUGAUGUAGAAGAAAAACAAAAUAAAGUGUCAAUGAAGAAUAUUGGGUCAGAGUCUCGCUCAAAAAAUGAUAAUGCCAAACAUGAAGCUUAUCAAUCACCAAAGAGUGUUUAAUUACAUUACAGUGUGUUUUGUUUGAUGGAGGAAGUUUAGUAAUGUGUGGAAGUUUUCCAU